UUGGACGUGAAUCUUUCUUGGGCAUCCUAUCUAGUCAUGUGAGGUGUCACAUCAUCACAUCUCAUUCUUCGAUUGAUUGAGUUGCGAAGCCAAUUGGAUUGGAGUUCAUCCUGCUUUCCUGCGGCAUCUAACGUGCAUGCAAAGUAGAGGGUCUGCAUAUCUAGGCCUCCGUAAAGGUUUAUAUCAGAUAAUUUAAGAUUUGAUCUUUGAUUUU
This 214-nucleotide long non-coding RNA is filed under the name Elaeis guineensis (African oil palm). RNAcentral's name for it is "long non-coding RNA (EGUI_LNC063468)". Lineage: Eukaryota; Viridiplantae; Streptophyta; Magnoliopsida; Arecales; Arecaceae. The record is from RNAcentral.